Molecule: long non-coding RNA, 556 nt
Organism: Micropterus dolomieu (smallmouth bass)
Lineage: Eukaryota; Metazoa; Chordata; Actinopteri; Centrarchiformes; Centrarchidae
Exons: 4
Source: RefSeq, a predicted model, not a curated record
UGUAGCAUCAGGUGGGCGGAGUUGAUUAGCUCAGCAAGUCUAUCUUAUCAGUUAUACAUUUGUAUUUCAUUGUGUGAAAAAAUUCAUGUGUGGCUUGACAGCGUGUGAAAAAUGUAAUUUGCUUGAGUCUCGCGAGAAAGCUUUUUACCCGACGAGACACAGCCAAAAAGGUUAACUGCAGCAUCUGCAAAGCUGGCAACACCGGAGCAUCUGAAGAGGAGGCACGUAACGUUGUGGCUCACUGGAUGAUGGCUCACUCGUCUCGAGAGAACGGCUGACUGAUUGGGGAGGACAGAUGACUAUUCAAGUUUGGGCUGGAGCCAAUCCCAAUCCCUCUUCUGGUUUUCCCACUCAAGGUCAAUAGCGGAAGGAGGGUAAAGGGUGUCAUUCCGUCUCCCGGAGAUGAAUGAAGCAAAACAAUCUAGGCAGCAACACAUACUGUGAUGUCUCUUGGCUCAUGGAACACUGUUGGGAUGCAUCUGUACCCUGGAUGGAGCAAAUACAUGUUUACAUUUUUAUCUCCACUGAAAAGGUUAUUUAUUUAUUUAUUUUGUAA